This 318-nucleotide long non-coding RNA is filed under the name Struthio camelus australis. RNAcentral describes it as "lncRNA (ENSSCUG00000002000.1)". Lineage: Eukaryota; Metazoa; Chordata; Aves; Struthioniformes; Struthionidae. The record is from RNAcentral.
CUUUGACUCACUUGCUAGAUAGGAAACCUAGACUUUGAACUCUUGUGGCCAUAUUUCCCAAUUGAACAGGACCCAGAGAUGCAGGCCCGCGUUUCCACCAAGGUCAAUGCUGAGAAGACUGCAAUGAGAUCUGAGGAUCCCGUACCAAGCAGCAGAGAUGGAAGAGGAGUUUGGAUGAUGUCCCAACCCAAGCAGCACAAAGAGAAAGCUGACUGUAUAAAGUGCAAAGAGGAUAAGUGUCCGUGGUGGUGACUACUGGAUGGUAGGAGGUUGUUUCACUGGCAGACUCAAUCUACAACUUCUUUUUCUGCACCGACU